GAUGAACGCUGGCGGCGUGCCUAAUACAUGCAAGUCGAGCGGACGGACAGGAAGCUUGCUUCUUUGAGGGUAGCGGCGGACGGGCGAGUAACACGUGGAUAACCUACCUAUAAUACUGGGAUAACUUCGGAGAACCGGUGAUAAUAACGGAUGAUAUUUUGAACGGGAUGGAUCAAAAGAGCAACACGCUUUUGCCGUCUGAAUUAGACGGUUCCGUGCUAGAUUAGCUAGUUGGUAAGGUAACGGCUUACCAAGGCGACGAUGCGUAGCCGAUCUGAGAGGGUGAUCAGCCACACUGGAACUGAGACACGGUCCAGACUCCUACGGGAGGCAGCAGUGGGGAAUAUUGGGCAAUGGGCGAAAGCCUGAUCCAGCAACACCGCGUGGGUGAUGAAGGCCUUCGGAUUGUAAAGCUCUUUUAUUGGGAAAGAACAUCAGUAGAAUAAAAUGUGCACAUUUUGACGGUACCCAAUCAGUAAGCAACGGCUAACUACGUG
Molecule: ribosomal RNA, 497 nt
Filed under: uncultured bacterium
Lineage: Bacteria
Description: partial 16S ribosomal RNA
Rfam family: Bacterial small subunit ribosomal RNA
Source: RNAcentral